Molecule: ribosomal RNA, 738 nt
Filed under: Triticum aestivum (bread wheat)
Lineage: Eukaryota; Viridiplantae; Streptophyta; Magnoliopsida; Poales; Poaceae
Description: partial small subunit ribosomal RNA
Source: RNAcentral
AUGGACCAGACGCCGCGGCGCCGCCGCCGGAGACGCGCCGAGGCCGCCCCCUCCGAUGGCGCCCCGGACACGGCGGAGUACAGCCUCGACGAGCCGACCAUGGCGGAGAAGCUCGCGGCCCUGAGUCCGCCCGCCGACGCGGCGGGCGUCGCCGCCGUGGUGCCCCCCAGCGCCGACUCCGUCCACAUCCUGCUCAGGCAGGCCCUGCAGGCCGACGACCGCGCCGCGCUGCUCGGCUGCCUGUACAACAGAGACGCCAAGGUUAUCGUGAAGUCGGUAUCACUCCUGACGCCAGCAGACGCUGUGAAGUUCCUCAAAUCCCUGAUAUCGCUCAUGCAGUCUAGGGGUUCAGUGCUGGUUUGCUUGCUCCCAUGGCUUCAAGCUCUGCUUAGCCGGCACAUGAGCAGCAUAGUGUCUCAGGAUUCCUCUCUGCUGCUGCUCAACUCGCUUUAUCAGCUGAUUGACGCAAGAACAUCGACCUUCGCAUCGUCGCUCAAACUGUCUACGUGCCUAGACUAUCAUUUCAGCGAGAUCUGCGAUGAUGAAUCCGAUGAAGAAGAGGGAGGCCCUCCGCUUAUCUACGAGGACGUGGAUUCUGAUGAGGAAGAUUCUGAAGUUGAUGAUGCUAUGGAAACCGAGGACAAGGGGAGUGAUGGGGAAGAUUCCGAGGUCGACGAUGCCAUGGAGAGAGAGAGAAAGGGGACCGACAAGGAAGAGUCUGAAGUUGAUGAUGAGUGA